UGGGCACUGUACUUCUCAUUGGAGAA
RNAcentral lists this non-coding RNA (26 nucleotides) under Homo sapiens (human). The record is from RNAcentral. Lineage: Eukaryota; Metazoa; Chordata; Mammalia; Primates; Hominidae.